Molecule: ribosomal RNA, 501 nt
Filed under: uncultured bacterium
Lineage: Bacteria
Description: bacterial SSU rRNA
Rfam family: Bacterial small subunit ribosomal RNA
Source: RNAcentral
GAUGAACGCUAGCGGCAGGCUUAAUACAUGCAAGUCGUGGGGCAGCAUGGGGUAGCAAUACCCUGAUGGCGACCGGCAAACGGGUGCGGAACACGUACGCAACCUUCCUUUAACUGGAGAAUAGCCCCUCGAAAGAGGGAUUAAUACUCCGUAAUAUCCCGAUAUGGCAUCAUGACGGGAUUAUAGCUCCGGCGGUUAGAGAUGGGCGUGCGCCUGAUUAGGUAGNGGCGGGGUAAUGGCCCACCAAGCCUUCGAUCAGUAACUGGUGUGAGAGCACGACCAGUCACACGGGCACUGAGACACGGGCCCGACUCCUACGGGAGGCAGCAGUAAGGAAUAUUGGUCAAUGGACGGAAGUCUGAACCAGCCAUGCCGCGUGAAGAAUGAAGGCCCCUCUGGGGUUGUAAAACUUUCUUUUAUCUGGGGAACGAAAAAAGGGCUUUAUAGCUCACUUGACGGUACCAGAGGAAUAAGCACCGGCUAACUCCGUGCCAGCCGCCG